This 65-nucleotide transfer RNA is filed under the name Loxodonta africana (African savanna elephant). It matches the Rfam family "tRNA", at positions 5 to 66 of the family's 71-position model. From Rfam's summary of the family: Transfer RNA (tRNA) molecules are approximately 80 nucleotides in length. Their secondary structure includes four short double-helical elements and three loops (D, anti-codon, and T loops). Lineage: Eukaryota; Metazoa; Chordata; Mammalia; Proboscidea; Elephantidae. The record is from Rfam by way of RNAcentral.
UGGUGGUUCAAUGGUAGAAUUCUCGCCUUUCAUGUGGGAGGCCUAGGUUCGAUUCCUCCUGGCCA